AACGAACGCUGGCGGCAGGCUUAACACAUGCAAGUCGAACGCACCUUUCGGGGUGAGUGGCAGACGUGUGAGUAACGCGUGGGAAUCUACCCUUCUCUACGGGAUAGCUCCGUGAAACUGGAAUUAAUACCGUAUACGUCCUGAGGGAGAAAGAUUUAUCGGGGAAGGAUGAGCCCGCGUUGGAUUAGCUAGUUGGUGGGGUAAAGGCCUACCAAGGCGACGAUCCAUAGCUAGUCUAAGAGGAGGAUCAUCCACAUUGGGACUGAGACACGGACCAACCUGCUACGGGAGGCAGGAGUGGGGAAUAUUGGACAAGGGGGGCAAGCCUGAUACAGCCAUGCCGGGUGAGAGAUGAAGGCCCUAGGGUUGUAAAGCUCUUUCAGUGGGGACGAUAAUGACGGUACCCACAGAAGAAGCACCGGCUAACUUCGUG
This 433-nucleotide ribosomal RNA is filed under the name uncultured bacterium. RNAcentral describes it as "partial 16S ribosomal RNA". It matches the Rfam family "Bacterial small subunit ribosomal RNA", at positions 29 to 507 of the family's 1533-position model. The record is from RNAcentral.